GACGAACGCUGGUGGCGUGCCUAACACAUGCAAGUCGAGCGAAGGGAGUACUACGGUACGAACUUAGCGGCGGACGGGUGAGUAACGCGUGGACAAUCUACCCUGUAGACUGGGAUAACACCUCGAAAGGGGUGCUAAUACCGGAUAAUGUCGAGAAGCGGCAUCGCUUUUCGAAGAAAGGAGGGAAUCCGCUAUAGGAGGAGUCCGCGUCCCAUUAGCUAGUUGGUGAGGGUAACGGCCCACCAAGGCGAUGAUGGGUAGCCGGCCUGAGAGGGUGAACGGCCACACUGGAACUGAGACACGGUCCAG
RNAcentral lists this ribosomal RNA (309 nucleotides) under uncultured bacterium. RNAcentral's name for it is "bacterial SSU rRNA". It matches the Rfam family "Bacterial small subunit ribosomal RNA", at positions 28 to 334 of the family's 1533-position model. The record is from RNAcentral.